UGGGGGAAUAUUGGGCAAUGGGCGAAAGCCUGACCCAGCAACGCCGCGUGAAGGAAGAAGGCCUUCGAGUUGUAAACUUCUUUUACCAGGGACGAAGGACGUGACGGUACCUGGAGAAAAAGCAACGGCUAACUACGUGCCAGCAGCCGCGGUAAUACGUAUGGUGCAAGCGUUAUCCGGAUUUACUGGGUGUAAAGGGAGCGCAGGCGGUGCGGCAAGUCUGAUGUGAAAGCCCGGGGCUCAACCCCGGUACUGCAUUGGAAACUGUCGUACUAGAGUGUCGGAGGGGUAAGUGGAAUUCCUAGUGUAGCGGUGAAAUGCGUAGAUAUUAGGAGGAACAUCAGUGGCGAAGGCGGUUUACUGGACUGUAACUGACGUUGAGGCGCGAAAGC
RNAcentral lists this ribosomal RNA (392 nucleotides) under uncultured Lachnospiraceae bacterium. RNAcentral's name for it is "bacterial SSU rRNA". It matches the Rfam family "Bacterial small subunit ribosomal RNA", at positions 354 to 760 of the family's 1533-position model. Lineage: Bacteria; Bacillati; Bacillota; Clostridia; Lachnospirales; Lachnospiraceae. The record is from RNAcentral.